AUUGAACGCUGGCGGCAUGCCUUACACAUGCAAGUCGAACGGCAGCGGACCUUCGGGUGCCGGCGAGUGGCGAACGGGUGAGUAAAGUAUCGGAACGUACCUCUCAGUGGGGGAUAACGUAGAGAAAGGUACGCUAAUACCGCAUAUUCUGAGAGCAGGAAAGCAGGGGAUCGCAAGACCUUGCGCUGAUGGAGCGGCCGAUAUCAGAUUAGCUAGUUGGUGAGGUAAAGGCUCACCAAGGCGACGAUCUGUAGCGGGUCUGAGAGGAUGAUCCGCCACACUGGAACUGAGACACGGUCCAGACUCCUACGGGAGGCAGCAGUGGGGAAUUUUGGACAAUGGGAGCAACCCUGAUCCAGCCAUGCCGCGUGAGUGAAGAAGGCCUUCGGGUUGUAAAGCUCUUUCGUCCGGGAAGAAAUCGCAUCAGCUAAUACCUGGUGUGGAUGACGGUACCGGAAUAAGAAGCACCGGCUAACUACGUGCCAGCCGCCGCAGUAA
This 498-nucleotide ribosomal RNA is filed under the name uncultured bacterium. Its description in RNAcentral is "partial 16S ribosomal RNA". It matches the Rfam family "Bacterial small subunit ribosomal RNA", at positions 30 to 523 of the family's 1533-position model. The record is from RNAcentral.